GAUGAACGCUGGCGGCGUGCUUAACACAUGCAAGUCGAGCGAAGCGCUUUGGUUAGAUUCUUCGGAUGAAGACCUUUGUGACUGAGCGGCGGACGGGUGAGUAACGCGUGGGUAACCUGCCUCAUACAGGGGGAUAACAGUUAGAAAUGGCUGCUAAUACCGCAUAAGCGCACGGUACUGCAUGGUACAGUGUGAAAACUCCGGUGGUAUGAGAUGGACCCGCGUUGGAUUAGCUAGUUGCAGGUAACGCCUACAAGGCGACGAUCCAUAGCCAGCCUGAGAGGGUGACGGCCACAUUGGGACUGAGACACGGGCCCAGACUCCUAUGGGAGCAGCAGUGGGGAAUAUGCACAAUGGGGAAACCCUGAUGCAGCGACGCCGCGUGAGCGAAGAAGUAUUUCGGG
RNAcentral lists this ribosomal RNA (404 nucleotides) under uncultured bacterium. Its description in RNAcentral is "bacterial SSU rRNA". It matches the Rfam family "Bacterial small subunit ribosomal RNA", at positions 28 to 422 of the family's 1533-position model. The record is from RNAcentral.